AUGCAAGUCGAACGGCAGCACGGGAGCAAUCCUGCUGACGAGUGGCGAACGGGUGAGUAAUACAUCGGAACGUGCCCGAUCGUGGGGGAUAACGCAGCGAAAGCUGUGCUAAUACCGCAUACGAUCUACGGAUGAAAGCGGGGGAUCGCAAGACCUCGCGCGGACGGAGCGGCCGAUGGCAGAUUAGGUAGUUGGUGGGAUAAAAGCUUACCAAGCCGACGAUCUGUAGCUGGUCUGAGAGGACGACCAGCCACACUGGGACUGAGACACGGCCCAGACUCCUACGGGAGGCAGCAGUGGGGAAUUUUGGACAAUGGGCGAAAGCCUGAUCCAGCCAUGCCGCGUGCAGGAUGAAGGCCUUCGGGUUGUAAACUGCUUUUGUACGGAACGAAAAAGUCUUCUCUAAUACAGGGGGCGAAUGACGGUACCGUAAGAAUAAGCACCGGCUAACUACGUGCCAGCAGCCGCGGUAAUACGUAGGGUGCGAGCGUUAAUCGGAAUUACUGGGCGUAAAGCGUGCGCAGGCGGUUAUAUAAGACAGAUGUGAAAUCCCCGGGCUCAACCUGGGAACUGCAUUAGUGACUGUAUAGCUAGAGUGAGGAAGAGGGAGGUGGAAUUCCGGGUGUAGUGGUGAAAUGCGUAGAUAUCCGGAGGAACACCAGUGGCGAAAGCGGCCUCCUGGCCCAUUUCUGACGCUCAGACACGAAAGCUAAGGUAGCAAACGGGAUUAGAGACCCCGGUAGUCUUAGCUGUAAACGAUGUGAACUUAGUGUCGGUGGGUUUAAAUCCAUCGGUACUGAAGCUAACGCGAUAAGUUCACCGCCUGGGGACUACGGCCGCAAGGUUAAAACUCAAAGGAAUUGACGGGGCCCCGCACAAGCAGCGGAGCGUGUGGUUUAAUUCGAUGCUACACGAAGAACCUUACCAGGGUUUGACAUGCUAGUGGUAGGAAACCGAAAGGUGACCGACCCUUCGGGGAGCUAGCACAGGUGCUGCAUGGCUGUCGUCAGCUCGUGUCGUGAGAUGUUCGGUUAAGUCCGCUAACGAGCGCAACCCUCGCUGUGUGUUAUAUGUGUCACAUGGGACUGCCGGCCUUAAGCCGGAGGAAGGUGGGGAUGAUGUCAAGUCAGCAUGGCCUUUAUGUCCUGGGCUACACACACGCUACAAUGGUCAGCACAAUGGGUCGCUAAGCCGCAAGGUGGAGCCAAUCCUCAAAGUUGGCCUCAGUUCAGAUUGUAGGCUGCAACUCGCCUGCAUGAAGAUGGAGUUGCUAGUAAACGCAGGUCAGCUAUACUGCGUUGAAUACGUUCCCG
This 1313-nucleotide ribosomal RNA is filed under the name uncultured bacterium. RNAcentral's name for it is "partial 16S ribosomal RNA". It matches the Rfam family "Bacterial small subunit ribosomal RNA", at positions 55 to 1376 of the family's 1533-position model. The record is from RNAcentral.